Molecule: long non-coding RNA, 5610 nt
Organism: Rattus norvegicus (Norway rat)
Lineage: Eukaryota; Metazoa; Chordata; Mammalia; Rodentia; Muridae
Source: RefSeq, a predicted model, not a curated record
UCAAGUUUGGCACCAGCUUAGAGCUAUCCGGAACCAUGGUGGAGCGGGAUGGGUGUAGGGAUUAUCCCCGGUGUAUAGGUGAGAAUUGUAGAACUUCAGGAAGUCCAUAUAUCCAGAAAUGGGUUCAAGCUGGACUACAGAAGAAUUCCUGGUGGUUAGAUAAAAGCCAGCAUUCUUGCUCCUGAAACAGGUUUUCCAUCCGCCAAGAGUGUCCACCCUCAGGUAUUUGUCCACAGACUUGUCUGUCUAGUGCGUCCUCACUGUGCUCUGUCUCUUGCUGCCUUCACUGUCCCACCUCUCCCCUCCCCAGCCAAGUCCCAGUCUUUCAUUUCUCCCUACUCUGAACAAUUCUGAUUCCUCUGAACAUUUUCUUUCUCUUACCUACAACAAAAACCUUUCCCUGCCAAGUGGUGGUGGUACAUACCUUUAAUCUAAGCACUCAGGAGGCUGAGGUAGGAGAAUUUCUGUGAGUUUAAGACCAGCCUGGUCUAUAGCGCUAGCUCUAAGAAAGCCAAGGCUACACAGAAAACCUUGUCUUGAAAACAAAACAAAACAAAACAAAACAAAGAACUCCCAAACCAAACCAAACCAAACAAGAAAACCUUUCCACUGAUGAAGCGGUCAUGUUGGCAGUUUCUUUACUGUACCCCUCACAUACAGUUCCCAGUACUCUGACUAUGUAACAGGUUAACUUAAAAUGUUGUUGGACUAAACAUUUUGCUCAUUCUUUAUCUCACAGCUUUUGUACACCAGAAAAAUUAAACAGCUCUGUUCUGUGCUAUUGGGUCUAGAGGUUAGGAACUUGAAUCACCUUAAAUAUCUUUCAUUCAUCUUCCUGUGAACAACCAUAUAAGGUAUACCCCAUGGGCCUCCUUAUGACUUGGAGACUAGAUUCUAAGGUGAGUGCUCCAAAUGAGAAAUCAACCUAGAUAGGGAGCAUGUGUACAUGCAUGUACACACACACACACACACACACACACACACACACACACACACACACACACACACACACACAGUCCUUGGGAGUAACUGUGCCACUUCUACCACAUUUUAUUGGUUGAGAUAGUUUUAAGUUUCAAGAAGAAGAAACAAACUUUGAUUCCCCAACCCACUCUUGAUUGGUGCAUCCAUCUUUAGAAGAUGUUAUUGGCCAUGAUUGGGCCUCUGAUGGUUAGAUAGCUCAGGUUAGGAUUUAUGCUACUCUGUUUCCUAAUACUCUGGCCACGAGCAAGGAAAUUCUGUGGCCUCUCCAUACUUCAGUUUCCAUACAGGACCGAUACAGAGAGUCCAUGGCUUACCUCCUAAAUGAUUCCUUUAGUGCUUGCUGAAUUAGGUCCCAGAGCAUCGCAUUCUUACUAUCUAAUGCAGCAGAAGGCAUGCUCUGUCCUGAGCCAGCCACUGCCAUUUGAUCUGUUCUCUACCAGGAAGGAAGAGUCUCUGACGUAAAGGCAAGGUAAGCUAUAUGUGAGUGGUGACUGAGUUUUGUGAAAAAAAAAUGUUCGUAUCAUUAUUUUUCCUAAGAAUCUAAACACUUCAGCCUAGUCCUGGUCCCUUAGAGAUCUGAGGAAACUGGGGAAUUCAGAGUAAGUAUAAUCGGCAGCAAGUGGGAGACCCAGAUUAGAGGUUAUGCUCCCUGCUAAGGCUAUGACAGCAGCAGUUUCCAGGAUAGAAGCUGUAGUGGAGAAUGAGAGGGAGGGAGGGAGGGAGCCAGUUUGGCUUUAGAUUUUUGUUUGAAGCAGCAUCUCAUUGCCCAGGCUGACUCAAACCUUCCAUGUAGCCAAGGAUGACCUGGAUCUCCUGAUCCCCCUACAUCUGUCUGCUGUGUUCCAGGAUUACAGGCCUGUCUGCUGUUGUGAGCUGCCUGGUUUAGGUGCUACAAUCCCAACCAGUGUCAUCUACGUGUUUGGGUCAUCUUUUCCACUCUUAAAACUGACUUUAAAGAUGAUGGCUCAGUGGGUAAAGGUAUCUGCUACAUGAGCCCGGAGACCCGAGUUUGGUCCCCAGAACCCACAAUGUUGUCCCUGAUCUCUACCACAUUCUCUGUAACACUUGCACACACCUCAUCUCACACACACACACACACACACACACACACACACACACACACACACACUAAUAAUUUUUAUAGAAAAAGUCCUAUCACUUCAGGAUUAGCAUAAGUAAUGGUGAGAAAUGAUCACGUGCACAGCAGUUGUCCCUCUCCUCCCACCAUGCCUUGGAGUGUCAACUACCAAUCCCGAGGGCAUCUCAGUGGGAAGGAAUCAGCUGAACCAAUCUCAGACACUUUUCUUUUCCUCAGAAGUGAGGGCAGUUGGCCAACUCCCCUAACUCUACAGAAUAACCAAGAUUGGGUCACUUGAAGAAUAGUGGAGAGGCCCUGCUUAUGCCCACACUGCCCUCAGAGACUGGAGACUUCUAAAACCUAAGGUCCCUUUCACUGUCACCUGUUGAAGUUAAGUGAAGAACCUUCAUCUCUCGGUGACUUGAGCAUGGCUUCUGCUAUUUCAAUUGAAACCUGCUGUAGCUCACAAGAAGACAGGGCUGGGGGAGGGUGGGUGAAGGAUUGCAGAGCCCAGCCCAGCACACUGCCCGUUCUCUGCCUCUAGCAGCACACCCGGACCUCCCCAGGGGGAGGAGGAAACACAAGGAGAAAACACCUGUGAAUUCCUUACACAGCUCCCCCCAUGGCUACAUUCCACCCUCUCCACUGCCAGAAAAGAUUCAUUUGUUCCAUCUCUGACCUCAGGGCACGGACAAAUGGAUGGAGGCCUGGUGUGACUUCUCUGCUCUUGGCUCUAUUCCACUCACCAAUUAAUCACCUUACCCUAGCCUGACAAGCCAAGCUCCUCGCUGCUGUUCAUCCUCUGGCUGUUCCGGUGAUUGCUCUAAAGGCUUCCCCAGAUGCAAGAACCCAUCAGUUUCAGCAGCCUUUUGGGAAUGUUCGGCGCCUUCACCACAUGGUAAAACCGAGAAUAUUUUGAGCGGAUGGUUCUGGACUGAUUUCAAAGCUCUUGUUGGUGCGGACAUGUGCGGCCUUCUCCAGCUGCCCAGGAUUAUGAACAGUGGGGGUUACAUCACCACGUGGUAAGAUGGAGGGGCAUGUAAGCAGGGCCCUCUUGCAGGCAUCUGAUGCACACAGAACACCGGGUCCUUUCCCUUCUCCCCUACCCGACAGCCCAUUCUUUGUGCUUUGAGACCGCUCUGCUCUGCAGAGAUAGGGUCUGAACAGCUCUUUGGAGGGAGAGAGGGCCCAAUCUCUUUCAUUUCCUUUAAGCCCACGCGAGCCGGGCUCAUUUCCCUGGUUCCUUCUAAAGAACAUGUGCUAAACACUUGCUUCCCUCACGUGGCCUCCUGCCUCCUUCCUGCACACUUUGGGAGGAACAGGGACCCAGCCUAAGUUGGGGCGGGGGCAGGGGGAGCAGUAAGCUUCAGCCUGAGGGCCAAAUCCCACCACUGCCUAUUUUUGUAAAACAAAUUUCCUUGGAACGCAGCCACUGUGUGCUUACUGGCUAUGGCUGCCUCUGAGCAACCAAGGCAGAGGUAAAUCAUUGCAAAAGAGACUGUCCACCCUACAGAGCUGAAGCUAUUUCCUUGUCUGUUCCUUCUGGAGAAAAGCUUUCCAAACCGUGGCUCACAUGAAGGAAAUGUGGGUCAGAGAUGCUCUGAGAAGAAGAGCAGACCCAAAGUUUCGAAGGUGGACUCCUGAUUUCCUGAGACCAGAAAAGCAGGGGAAACAGCCCUCAAUGACUGAGCAUGUCCACCUGCUCCUGGACUUGUGAUGGGGCCACUUCUGAUAAAGUUAUGAUAACUCAACAAUGGAAGGAAAAUUUUGUUUACCGUAUCGAUCCUAUUGGAGAAAGUCACCCAGCAGUGCCACCCACGGUAGAGGGCCAGCUACUGCAGCUGUCCCUGUCAGAAGGGCAUCAUUUCUUAGCUAGCUCAGGAAAAGGUCCAAGUUCAACAUUGAAGGUAUUUUUUCGUACUGAGUAUCUCUUGUUUUUACGUCAGCAGAAAGUUAGAAAUCAUAGGUUGGACCAUCACGAGCCACUUUCUUGUGGGAAAACAUUGUGCCUAGCAUUCCCUCAACCCCGAGGGUGCGCGAGGUGCUGUUGUGGCUCCAGGACACAGCUGAAAGCUUGUGUUUCAGAGAUGACAUACCACCUGCCCUCUGUAUCGUGAGGGGCUGCUGCGAGACAGGACUCUGGUGGUUCUUGUCAUUGUCACAUUGACUGGCUGUAGAAUCAUCAGGGAAGAAUGCCUCGGGGAGUAUCUGUGAGAGUGUUGCCAGAGGUCUAAGCCAAAAUAGGAUGCCCCACUGUGACAUGGGUGGCACCGUCCCAUGGGCUGGGGGCCUUCUCCUGAAGGAGAAGAGGAGCCGGGCAUAGCAUUUGUCCUGACCAUGGACGCCAUGGGGCCAUCCACCUUGUGCUCCCAUCACUGUGACUUCCCCAUCAUGGUGGAGUGUGAGCUAAAAUAAGCUCUUCCUCUCAUAGGUUUUGUCACAGCAAGAAUUAAUAGUGUUCAAAAUCCUAGUGUUGGCAGGCAGCAGCAGCCUUCCAUGGGCUCAUAUCGCUGCAUUUGACAUGCUCUGGGUGCACUGUGUGCAUUGUGUGUGUGUGUGUGUGUGUGUGUGUGUGUGUGUUAUUGUAUAUGUGUACAUGCAUGUCUGAAUGUAUGAGUAUCAGUAUGUAUGCAUGCAUGUGUGAAUGUAUCUGUGUGAAAGUAUUUCUGUGUGUGUUACUGUAUAUGUCUAUAUGAGUAUGAGCAUGAGUGUGUACAUGUAUGUGUGAAUGUGAAUUUUUGAGUGUCAUUGUGUAUAUGAGUGUGCAUGUGUUUGAGUGUAUGUGUGAUUAUGUACAUAUAUGAGUAUGUACGUCUUUGUGUGUAUGAGUGUUUAUAUUGUCUACAUGCUAGUGUGUCUAUGAAUUGUGUCUGUGUAUAUGAGUAUGUGUGUUAAUGUUGCACGUAUUUGUGAAAGUGUGUAUGUAUGUAAGUUCAAUUGUAUGCCUUAGAGGAUACAUGUGCAUACAUGCACACAUGUGUGCAGGUGUGUGUGUGUGUGUGUGUGUGUGUGUGUGUGUGAGUACGGUGGAAGCCUAGCUGUUGCUUCACUCAGUUUUAUUAUUGAAUUUUAAGAGAUGGAAACCCCAGAACUAUCAGUCAUUUUUUUUUGGGCAACCUCAAAAUUUGGUAAGGGAUGAGGCUGAAGCCUCCAAACGUCCACCUUGAAACCAGCAUACUAACUAACACUCUCUAACUGUCCUGCAUGUCCUUCUGACCAGCUAUCUUAGGCCACUUCACAAGCAUUUACUAUUUGCUAUGACACUGCUCCCUGGGGUGGGGGCUAUAAUAGAGUGUGGUUCCUUCAAGGUUUGAAGACUCCCAUCAUUUAAAAGGUACAAUUUUCUCCCUGUCUGGUGAGAAUUUUACUGUAUUUGAGGAGAAAAGUUGUGAACUGGCUUUUCUCUCUUUUUACGCUGUCAUUUAACUAAAUUACUAUUACAGGUAUAGCCUAAGUCCAGAUGACUAUGAUUGUUCUCACAGUGGAAGAAAGGAAGGAAGGAAGGAAGGGAGGAAGGAAGGAAGGAAGGAAGGAAAGAAGGAAGGAAG